Salvia miltiorrhiza (redroot sage) is the source of this 1054-nucleotide long non-coding RNA. RefSeq lists it as uncharacterized. The record is from RefSeq and is a predicted model, not a curated record. Lineage: Eukaryota; Viridiplantae; Streptophyta; Magnoliopsida; Lamiales; Lamiaceae. The transcript has 2 exons.
UCUUAGAAUGAGUCUUAAAUCUCAUUUUCACAAAAUUUAUAUUUCCACACUUUUAUUUUUAAAUUUCAAAUUUCAUUAAAAUUAAAAUUCAAAAUUACAAUAAUUAAAAUAAAAUUAAAGACAUAAUUAAAAUACAAUAAAAAAAUAAAAAUUAUGAUAAAAAAAUUAGAAUUUUAAAAUUUUUAAAAAUAAAAAAUCAAAUCAAACUCAAAAAACAAAAAUAAUAAAUAAAACAAAACAUAUUAAAAAUAUUUUUAAAAAAAGUCGAACACCUACCCACCUACCCUUUUCUUCCCCCAUCGUCUUCCCUGAAAUUUUCCCUUUCUCUGCAACUGAUUUCCUGCCUAAAUUUUUUUCUCUCUCUAAAGUUUCGUUUCUUCCCCAGGUUUGUUUCAUUUUUUUUAUUUAAACCGUGUGCGUGUAGCGCACGGAUCUCUCAACCAAAGCCUUCGGCCCGCGUUGUAGCUUCGCCCCGGCUUCGACCCAGCCGAGGUCUCCAACGCAGUGCUUCUUCCAUCGCCCUGGAUCGAUGCGGGUCUUCAACACCGCGUUGGAGAUGCUAGUACUUCACCCCUCCUCCGCUGCCUGCCGCAGGAAAAAAAACAGCGGCGGAGUCCACUUGCCACCACAUCCGUCGCCCAAGACGGUGGUGGAAAUGCCGGCUUCCGAUCGUUUUAGCAGAGGAUGAUCCGUUGAGCUUCCUCUGCCGCCGCAACUCCAGAUAUUUAUGUAAAAGCGCAGAGUUACUAGCUCUUCAGUUCGUGAUUCUCAGGUCCGGCAGGCGGCAGCGCCGCCGCAUCGGGGCUAUCCAGCAACUACAAUAAGAGGAGAAGAGGGAGGGAGAGAGAGAUGUAGUCAGAGUUGUCGGAGGAGGCGGCAGCUACUUUCUCAGAGACAUGGAGCGAGAGAUUGAGAGUAGAUUUUUUUCAUUUUAAUACAAAUGGGUCAGGGUCAACAAUGUGGGCAGGAUACAAUCCUGAUGUAUGAUACACUUGAAUGUCUAAGAUAUUUUGUAUUAUUUUUAAUAUUGAACAUCAUGUUCUUUUUUUCAUUU